UGACUCCAGAUCAGAAGGUUGCGUGU
Molecule: non-coding RNA, 26 nt
Filed under: Bombyx mori (domestic silkworm)
Lineage: Eukaryota; Metazoa; Arthropoda; Insecta; Lepidoptera; Bombycidae
Also listed under: 4 other names
Source: RNAcentral